RNAcentral lists this ribosomal RNA (440 nucleotides) under uncultured bacterium. RNAcentral's name for it is "partial 16S ribosomal RNA". It matches the Rfam family "Bacterial small subunit ribosomal RNA", at positions 338 to 795 of the family's 1533-position model. The record is from RNAcentral.
CCUACGGGAGGCAGCAGUGGGGAAUAUUGCACAAUGGGGGAAACCCUGAUGCAGCGACGCCGCGUGUGGGAAGACGGUCCUCUGGAUUGUAAACCACUGUCCCCAGGGACUAAGAUUACGGUACCUUGGGAGUAAGCUCCGGCUAACUACGUGCCAGCAGCCGCGGUAAUACGUAGGGAGCGAGCGUUGUCCGGAUUUACUGGGUGUAAAGGGAGCGUAGGCGGGACUGCAAGUCGGGUGUCAAAUCUACCGGCUCAACCGGUAGCCGCACUCAAAACUGCAGUUCUUGAGUGAAGUAGAGGCAGGCGGAAUUCCUAGUGUAGCGGUGAAAUGCGUAGAUAUUAGGAGGAACACCAGUGGCGAAGGCGGCCUGCUGGGCUUUUACUGACGCUGAGGCUCGAAAGUGUGGGGAGCAAACAGGAUUAGAUACCCCUGUAGUC